This 148-nucleotide non-coding RNA is filed under the name Gorilla gorilla gorilla (western lowland gorilla). The record is from Rfam by way of RNAcentral. Lineage: Eukaryota; Metazoa; Chordata; Mammalia; Primates; Hominidae.
GCCAGGCGUGGUGGCAUGCGCCUGUAGUCCCAGCUACUUGGGAGGCUGAGGCAGGAGAAUUGCUUGAACCCAGGAGGCGGAGGUUGUAGUGAGCCAAGAUGGCGCCACUGCACUCCAGCCUGGGUGACAGAGCAAGACUCUGUCUCAA